GAGGAUUUUUUGCAAUGCGCGCAAGCGUGACAGAGCGAGCCAGAGUGUUUUUCCUUUAUGGAAAAACUUUUGCCUAAUGUAAAAAGUUAGGAGAAUAAGGACUGGGCAAGACCGGUGCCAGCCGCCGCGGUAAUACCGGCGGUCCAAGUCGCAGCCACAUUUAUUGGGUCUAAAACAUCCGUAGCUUGUCUUAUAAGUCCCUUGUGAAAUCUUACAUCUUAAGUGUAAGGCGGGCAAGAGAUACUGUGAGACUUGAGUCUGGGAGACGCAGGAAGUACAGCUGAAGUAGUGGUAAAAUACGUUAAUCUCAGCCGGACUAACAAUUGGCGAAAGCAUCCUGCGAGAACAGUUCUGACAGUGAGGGAUGAAGGCUAGGGUCGCAAAAUGGAUUAGAUACCCAUGUAGUCCUAGCAGUAAACACUGCACACUAAACAUUGGUUUCUCCUCGAGAGAAAUCAGUGCUGUAGGGAAGCCGUAGAGUGCGCUACCUGGGAAGUAUAGUCGCAAGACCGAAACU
RNAcentral lists this ribosomal RNA (517 nucleotides) under uncultured archaeon. Its description in RNAcentral is "bacterial SSU rRNA". It matches the Rfam family "Archaeal small subunit ribosomal RNA", at positions 341 to 856 of the family's 1478-position model. The record is from RNAcentral.